Actinia tenebrosa (Australian red waratah sea anemone) is the source of this 397-nucleotide long non-coding RNA. Lineage: Eukaryota; Metazoa; Cnidaria; Anthozoa; Actiniaria; Actiniidae. The record is from RefSeq and is a predicted model, not a curated record.
CCCCAUUGAAAUUCAAGCACUUUUUUUGUGGAAGCAGUAUAGCUUUUUUCUGUGAUACUAUAUAUUAUUAAUACAAAAAUUUCUAACUCACUCCCUAUCAACAACRAAAAUCAUAACAAUAAAACAAUUAUUUUUUAGUACCUUGAAAGACGAUUUUCCAGAAGUGUUAAAGUUCUGGCAUCUUUAAUAUUCAUCAUUCAAACGCUUUUAUACAUGGCUAUUGUUUUGUAUGGGCCUGCACUCACAUUAGAAUCUGUUACUGGGUUUCCUUUGUGGAUAGCUAUUCUAUCUAUUGGUUUGAUAUGUACCUUUUACACAACACUGGGUGGCAUGAAGGCGGUCAUCUGGACGGAUGUAUUCCAGGGUAUAGUCAUGUUGAUUGGUCUGUUUGUUAUCA